This 401-nucleotide ribosomal RNA is filed under the name uncultured bacterium. RNAcentral's name for it is "bacterial SSU rRNA". It matches the Rfam family "Bacterial small subunit ribosomal RNA", at positions 358 to 774 of the family's 1533-position model. The record is from RNAcentral.
GGAAUAUUGGGCAAUGGGGGGAACCCUGACCCAGCAACGCCGCGUGAGGGAAGAAGGUUUUCGGAUCGUAAACCUCUGUCCUUGGUGAAGAGUAAGAGACGGUAGCCAAGGAGGAAGCCCCGGCUAACUUCGUGCCAGCAGCCGCGGUAAUACGUAGGGGGCGAGCGUUGUCCGGAAUUACUGGGCGUAAAGGGUGCGUAGGCGGUCUGGUAAGUUGGAUGUGAAAUACCCGGGCUUAACUUGGGUGCUGCAUCCAAUACUGUCGGACUUGAGUGCGGGAGAGGAAAGCGGAAUUCCUAGUGUAGCGGUGAAAUGCGUGGAUAUUAGGAGGAACACCGGUGGCGAAGGCGGCUUUCUGGACUGUAACUGACGCUGAGGCACGAAGGCGUGGGGGGCAAACA